ACGCUCGACACCUACGGGGGCAGCAGUGGGGAAUAUUGCACAAUGGGCGAAAGCCUGAUGCAGCAACGCCGCGUGAGCGAAGAAGGCCUUGGGUCGUAAAGCUCUGUCCUCAAGGAAGAUAAUGACGGUACUUGAGGAGGAAGCCCCGGCUAACUACGUGCCAGCAGCCGCGGUAAUCUGAGGCGGGCGUGGCGAAGGC
RNAcentral lists this ribosomal RNA (199 nucleotides) under uncultured bacterium. Its description in RNAcentral is "partial 16S ribosomal RNA". It matches the Rfam family "Bacterial small subunit ribosomal RNA", at positions 328 to 538 of the family's 1533-position model. The record is from RNAcentral.